Molecule: ribosomal RNA, 253 nt
Filed under: uncultured bacterium
Lineage: Bacteria
Description: partial 16S ribosomal RNA
Rfam family: Bacterial small subunit ribosomal RNA
Source: RNAcentral
UACAGAGGGUGCUAGCGUUGUUCGGAAUCAUUGGGCGUAAAGGGCGUGUAGGCGGUUUGUUAAGUCAUGUGUGAAAUCCCUCGGCUCAACCGGGGAACGACGCAUGAAACUGGCAAGCUAGAGUACCAAAGAGGGGGGUGGAAUUCCCGGGGUAGCGGUGAAAUGCGUAGAUAUCCGGAAGAACACCGGUGGCGAAGGCGGCCUGCUGGGCAGUGGCUGACGCUGAUGCGCGACAGCGUGGGGAGCAAACAGG